Molecule: ribosomal RNA, 363 nt
Filed under: Triticum aestivum (bread wheat)
Lineage: Eukaryota; Viridiplantae; Streptophyta; Magnoliopsida; Poales; Poaceae
Description: partial small subunit ribosomal RNA
Source: RNAcentral
AUGACAACAGUGGAUCUCAACAAUCUUGCGUAUGCAGACGAACCAUUCGUCCUAGCCAAUGAUGUGGCGCAGGUUUUUUAUGUGAAAGACAUGUCUACCAGACCAAGAAAAAGAAAAGAUAAGGAAGCGAAUGGAUCAUACGACGAGCCAAAGCGCCACAUAGUUCUUUCAGGAAAAAGAAACAUCGUGGGAGUGGAUGACAAGACAGACAUGUCAGAAGAUUAUGAAAAGUUUGAUGAAAUUGCUCCAUUCACAGUGAAUAUUGACCCGAGCAUCCAGUUAAAUGAUGAAGAUUUUCCAUGGCUACGGCGCAAAGGGACACACGAGAAGAAAAAGUUUCAUACCCAAAGAUCUGGGAUGUGA